AUUAAUUCGAUGCAACGCGAAAACCUUACCUACCUUGACAUGUCUGGAAUCUUGGUGAGAGCCGAGGUGCUUCGGGAGCCAGAACACAGGUGCUGCAUGGCUGUCGUCAGCUCGUGUCGUGAGAUGUUGGGUUAAGUCCCGCAACGAGCGCAACCCUUGUCACUAGUUGCCAUCAUUUGGUUGGGCACUCUAGUGAGACUGCCGGUGACAAACCGGAGGAAGGUGGGGAUGACGUCAAGUCCUCAUGGCCCUUAUGGGUAGGGCUUCACACGUCAUACAAUGGUCGGUACAGAGGGUUGCCAAGCCGCGAGGUGGAGCCAAUCCCUUAAAGCCGAUCGUAGUCCGGAUCGUAGUCUGCAACUCGACUGCAUGAAGCCGGAGUUGCUAGUAACCGCAGGUCAGCAAUACUGCGGUGAAUACGUUCCCGGGUCUU
RNAcentral lists this ribosomal RNA (433 nucleotides) under uncultured Thauera sp. Its description in RNAcentral is "bacterial SSU rRNA". It matches the Rfam family "Bacterial small subunit ribosomal RNA", at positions 945 to 1382 of the family's 1533-position model. Lineage: Bacteria; Pseudomonadati; Pseudomonadota; Betaproteobacteria; Rhodocyclales; Zoogloeaceae. The record is from RNAcentral.